GUGGGGAAUCUUCCGCAAUGGACGAAAGUCUGACGGAGCGACGCCGCGUGAGUGAAGAAGGCCUUCGGGUCGUAAAGCUCUGUCAUCAGGGACGAACGGCCGGUGGAGUGGAAAGCCACCGGAUUGACGGUACCUGAGAAGGAAGCCACGGCUAACUACGUGCCAGCAGCCGCGGUAAUACGUAGGUGGCAAGCGUUGUCCGGAAUUAUUGGGCGUAAAGCGCGCGCAGGUGGGAUCUUAAGUCCAUUUUUAAAGUUCGGAGCUCAACUCCGUGAUGGGAUGGAAACUGGGAUUCUUGAGUACCGGAGAGGAAAGCGGAAUUCCCCGUGUAGCGGUGAAAUGCGUAGAUAUGGGGAGGAACACCAGUGGCGAAGGCGGCUUCCUGGCACAAUACUGACGCUCAUGUGCGAAAGCUAGGGCAGCGAACGGGAUUAGAAACCCUGGUAGUCC
RNAcentral lists this ribosomal RNA (450 nucleotides) under uncultured bacterium. Its description in RNAcentral is "partial 16S ribosomal RNA". It matches the Rfam family "Bacterial small subunit ribosomal RNA", at positions 354 to 796 of the family's 1533-position model. The record is from RNAcentral.